This 2954-nucleotide long non-coding RNA is filed under the name Homo sapiens (human). RNAcentral describes it as "non-protein coding SNAP25-AS1:17". Lineage: Eukaryota; Metazoa; Chordata; Mammalia; Primates; Hominidae. The record is from RNAcentral.
AAAUCAAGUCCGCGGGGCAUGGAGGCUGCUGUCGCUGCAGCAGCUCAGCUUGCCCGGGGCGGGAACUCCCCCUUUCUCCUUUCGCCUCCCCAGCACCCACACCCUGUCUCCCCCUUAAUUCUUCCCUGGAUAAUAGCACCCUAACGACAACAGUCAUAAUAAUAGGGUUAGAACGACAGGGGAGGAAAACUCAACAGCCUAAAUAUCUCUGAAAACUGCAUCGCAAAAUGGAAGAAAGAGGGGGUCCCACUACUGUUUCAAAAGAGAGCCAUGGAAGUCAAAUGCUGAGGAUGGUGGCAUCAUAGGAUGAAUGGAGCUGGGUUCUUGAAACACUGCCUGGAGGAAAGACAGCAAAAAUGCCUCAUGAAUCCAACUGGACUGUUAGGAUGCUCACCCUUGGAGACCAGCAACAAUGUGUGCAGAAACCCAGGCCAUGUGGAGAGGCCCCACAUACGUGUCCAACUGAGGUCCCAGCUGACAGCUGGCAUUGACAUAAUGUUCACUCUGGGGGAAGCCAGCUGCCACGCUGUAAGGACACUCGGGCAGUCCUAUGAAGAGGCCCGUGUGGUGAGAAAGAGAGGCCUCCAGCCAACAGCCAUAGAUGGGGUCUUGCUAUGUUUCCCAGUUGGAGUGCAGUGAUUAUUCACAGACAUGAUCCCACUACUGAUCAGCAUGGGAGUUUUCACCUGCUCCAUUUCCCACCUGGGAGGUCAUCAUAUUGAUGGCGAGCUAAGUGUGGACACCUGAUCAGCAUAGCACAGUACAGCCCAGAACCCCUGGGCUCCAGUGAUCCUCUUACUUCAGCCUCUUGAGUAGCUGGAACUACAGGCCUGCACCACUGCACCCGGCUAGUUUGUUUUUGUUAGAGUUUUGUCUCUAGGAUUUUCCUCAGCUGAGUAUGUGAAGGCUAACUUCUCCUUGUGAAUCUGCAAAUAUCCUUAUUUUACCCUUUAUUUUACCAUGUAUCAUUUACAGGUAAAUGAUAUCUUAGCUGUGUAUUGAAUUUCUGUUUUUUGUUUUUUCUUCAGUACUCUAUAAAUAUUACUCCAGUAUCUUCUAGCUUCUCCCAUUUUCUCCUAGUGAAUGGUUAUUCUGCUCUUAUCUAGCAGGUGAUAAAUCUGUCAACAGAUAGUUUUUCCUUUUUGUUUUAUGUGUAAGUUGUUAUUUCUUCCUUAAAGUUCAUAAUCUUUUCCCAUUUAUUCUCUAAAUUUUAGACUAUAACCAGGAUGUGUUUAGGUUGAUAUCUUUGCUUAUCUAUUCUGCCUGGAAAUCAGGAACCUCUUCCAAUAUUCAGACUUGUGUUUUCAGCUCAGAAUAAUUAUUUUAUCAUUUGUUUGAUUAUUCCUUUAGUUGCACUGGAUCUUAGUUAAAAUGCCCAUUCUGAUUCAAAGUAUCUGGAAGGCAAGUAUUUGUCAACUAAGGGAAAGGUGACCAUGCAUCAUUGGUUUUGCUGAGACUACCUGGUUUACACCUUCAGGCUUUAUACUUAGAAAAUAUUGCGAUCAUCUUCUGGUCAUGAAGUUACAAACUUCAGGACAAAGGCUAACCAGCUAAGACUAGCAGAGCAAAUUCCAAGAACUUGGGGCUUUAAUUAACUUGAAUUGAUUUGGACUUGCCCUACCUUUAACUUCACACUGAGAUAAAAAUUCCCCACAUUUUCAAGCCAUUUUUGAGAUGAGUCUCUUAUGGUUGAAAGCAUCCUAAUUUAUACAACAUCCUUUUGGUACCUAACUAAAUAUUCACCAAUAUUUGGCACAUUUGUUAAAUCUUUUGGUGUGUGCCUCUUCUAUGUAAUGUAAAUAUGGUCUGAAUAUCCAUUCAGAAAUUAUAGUUGAUUUGCAAAAAUAACUACUAUAUCACCUAUAUUAAUUGAUAGUUAUUCCUUCCCAACCUUCUUUCACUCUUCCAUAUAUAUACAGAGUAAAUCUACAUCAUUAUGUUGAUUAAACAAAAUAGCAGUGAAAUCAGGAUGUUACUGCUCAUUGUGCAUUUAUUUCAAUUAUGGAAAAAGCCAACACUUUACUCCCUUAUUUAACACUUCUGUAGAAAAGCAGUUGAAAUAACCUAGUGUCAUUCUAAAAUGAUUUGUAUACUAUGUAGACCAGAAUCUAGGGCUAUACCUAAAAAUACAUAAAUGAAAUUAUUCUAGAAGUUAAAUCUUCAUGAAAAAACAAAUUAAAUGGUUUACUAACCUCAAGCUGAUUAAAUGUUUUUAUUAAAUGCAGCCUCAGCCAGCACCUCUUUUCAUGGCUGCAAUAAUUAAGUAUAAUAAAUAUUCAAAUCAGUAAUUGAAUUUGUUAAAAAAAACAUGCUCAGCUCAGUGAAGACUUUCUAAUAAAUAGAAUUCAGGUACCAUAUUUUCAUACUUCAUGACACUUGCCUCAUCUUAGUUUGAUGACUGCCGUUUCUUGCACUGUAACAAGAUUUUAUUUUUAUUUUGUUUUACGCUAUUCAAACAAAUACAUUCAAAGUCAUAGGCUACACCUAUGUAUAACCAUAUUCUGAGAGUUGGCUUAUGUGUUUGUUUAUUUUCUCACAAUUAAAGAUAGGUCAGAUGUUGCCAAAUUAGUAAAUAACUAAACUUGAGAUGGGAAAUACUCUAGAGACACAAUCUGCUUAGUUUUGCAUAGUUUUGCAUAGUUUUAGUCACUUUUCCCGUUACUCUGUCCAGCUUUCCAGUAAUACUCAUAACAUUGCCUUGAUUUCAUAUGACCACGCAGUAAAGUGAUUACUGCACUUAGAAUUUUGUUGCUUUUGCUGUGCUAACAACUUAAAAGUUUAAAAUAACUGAUGUUCAAAACAGUGAAGAUUUCCUUUUAUAAACAAGUUGGAAAGGAAAGUUUUUAUGUUAUUAUCCUCAAGUAUUCUAACUAAUAUAAAAUGUCUUUCAGUCUUUUAGGCAAACCAUUUAGACAAAAAGUACAAAUAAUAAAUUUACAUUGUGUUAAGCUGCG